AUUGAACGCUGGCGGCAUGCCUUACACAUGCAAGUCGAACGGUAACAGGUCUUCGGAUGCUGACGAGUGGCGCACGGGUGAGUAAUACAUCGGAACGUGCCCAAUCGUGGGGGAUAACGGAGCGAAAGCUUUGCUAAUACCGCAUACGAUCUACGGAUGAAAGCAGGGGACCGCAAGGCCUUGCGCGGACGGAGCGGCCGAUGGCAGAUUAGGUAGUUGGUGGGAUAAAAGCUUACCAAGCCGACGAUCUGUAGCUGGUCUGAGAGGACGACCAGCCACACUGGGACUGAGACACGGCCCAGACUCCUACGGGAGGCAGCAGUGGGGAAUUUUGGACAAUGGGCGAAAGCCUGAUCCAGCCAUGCCGCGUGCAGGAUGAAGGCCUUCGGGUUGUAAACUGCUUUUGUACGGAACGAAAAGACUCUUUCUAAUAAAGAGGGUCCAUGACGGUACCGUAAGAAUAAGCACCGGCUAACUACGUG
Molecule: ribosomal RNA, 482 nt
Filed under: uncultured bacterium
Lineage: Bacteria
Description: partial 16S ribosomal RNA
Rfam family: Bacterial small subunit ribosomal RNA
Source: RNAcentral